This 532-nucleotide ribosomal RNA is filed under the name Fusarium thapsinum. Its description in RNAcentral is "eukaryotic LSU rRNA". The stretch from base 151 to 304 matches the Rfam family "5.8S ribosomal RNA". The record is from RNAcentral. Lineage: Eukaryota; Fungi; Ascomycota; Sordariomycetes; Hypocreales; Nectriaceae.
GGGCAUCGGGAGGUCACUCCCAACCCCUGUGACAUACCAAUUGUUGCCUCGGCGGAUCAGCCCGCUCCCGGUAAAACGGGACGGCCCGCCAGAGGACCCCUAAACUCUGUUUCUAUAUGUAACUUCUGAGUAAAACCAUAAAUAAAUCAAAACUUUCAACAACGGAUCUCUUGGUUCUGGCAUCGAUGAAGAACGCAGCAAAAUGCGAUAAGUAAUGUGAAUUGCAGAAUUCAGUGAAUCAUCGAAUCUUUGAACGCACAUUGCGCCCGCCAGUAUUCUGGCGGGCAUGCCUGUUCGAGCGUCAUUUCAACCCUCAAGCCCCCGGGUUUGGUGUUGGGGAUCGGCGAGCCUCACGGCAAGCCGGCCCCGAAAUACAGUGGCGGUCUCGCUGCAGCUUCCAUUGCGUAGUAGUAAAACCCUCGCAACUGGUACGCGGCGCGGCCAAGCCGUUAAACCCCCAACUUCUGAAUGUUGACCUCGGAUCAGGUAGGAAUACCCGCUGAACUUAAGCAUAUCAAAAGCCGGGAGGAAA